AGCUCACUGGGCGAGUGAUCCUGCGCCGAAGAUUUCCGGGGCUAAAACUUACUACCGAAGCUACGGCAUCAGUAAUGAUGGGUAGGGGAGCUUCCCAUACGGGUUGAAGCAUGACCGUAAGGACAUGGGGACAGUAUGGGAGUGAGAAUGUUGGCAUGAGUAGCGAGAUGUGGGUGAGAAUCCCACAGGCCGUAAACCCAAGGUUUCCAGGGGAAGGUUCGUCCGCCCUG
RNAcentral lists this ribosomal RNA (230 nucleotides) under Clostridioides difficile. Its description in RNAcentral is "partial 23S ribosomal RNA". It matches the Rfam family "Bacterial large subunit ribosomal RNA", at positions 1139 to 1377 of the family's 2925-position model. Lineage: Bacteria; Bacillati; Bacillota; Clostridia; Peptostreptococcales; Peptostreptococcaceae. The record is from RNAcentral.